AACGAACGCUGGCGGCAUGCCUAACACAUGCAAGUCGAACGAGACCUUCGGGUCUAGUGGCGCACGGGUGCGUAACGCGUGGGAACCUGCCCUUAGGGUCGGCAUAACUCCCCGACAGGGGUGCUAAUACCGGAUAAUGUCUUCGGCCCAAAGAUUUAUCGCCUUUGGAUGGGCCCGCGUUGGAUUAGCUAGUUGGUAGGGUAAAAGCCUACCAAGGCGACGAUCCAUAGCUGGUCUGAGAGGAUGCUCAGCCACACUGGGACUGAGACACGGCCCAGACUCCUACGGGAGGCAGCAGUGGGGAAUAUUGGACAAUGGGCGAAAGCCUGAUCCAGCAAUGCCGCGUGAGUGAUGUAGGUCUUAGGGUUGUAAAGCUCUUUUACCCGGGAUGAUAAUGACAGUACCGGGAGAAUAAGCUCCGGCUAACUCCGUG
RNAcentral lists this ribosomal RNA (433 nucleotides) under uncultured bacterium. Its description in RNAcentral is "partial 16S ribosomal RNA". It matches the Rfam family "Bacterial small subunit ribosomal RNA", at positions 29 to 507 of the family's 1533-position model. The record is from RNAcentral.